Molecule: long non-coding RNA, 731 nt
Filed under: Mytilus galloprovincialis (Mediterranean mussel)
Lineage: Eukaryota; Metazoa; Mollusca; Bivalvia; Mytilida; Mytilidae
Source: RNAcentral
AGUCAGGAACUUGUCCAGUUUGCAGAUUUACAUUAGAAUGAGAACAGAUUGGAAGGAAUUUGAAAUGUUACAAAGCGCUGAAUAACAAAAUAAAAAAUCUAUAUCACUUGCUGCUGGAACAGAUCUGUAAGACACAUCAAAGUAAACAAGAAAUACAAGACUUAGUGUAACACAGGAGGAAACACAGAAUUAUAAUAAUCCUUAUAGUGCUAUGAACAAUAUGACUUGAUGAAUAUUAAAAUGAUACAAGACUAUUAUAACAAUAAAGAAUACAAGAUAUAUACAAAUGUAACAGAGGUGGAAAAAUACAGAUUUGAAAUAACCCUUAUAGUGCUAUGAAAAAUAUGAUUAACUUUAAGGAAGAUGGGGCUUCUAAAUUAUAAUCCAUAGAACCUUUUAAUAAUUUGCCAAAAUGUAGUUCAUAUCCUGCUUUUUUAAAAACAGUAAUAAAAAGAAUGGGUCACCGGACUUAUUUUCACACUAUAGGUUGUGCAAAAUGUCAAGAUUUUGUAUAGAUUAUGCAUGGAAAACCAAAUUUUCCGCCAUAAAACGCAAACCACACCAUAGAUUUUGGAAAAAUAUGAGAAGAUAGCUCCAAUAUUAUGCUUUCAGAUAAGAAAAAGAAAAAAAUGGGGUCACCAGACUCAAUUUCUUGCACCAUGUAAAAAUUGGCAAAUUCCUACACAUUGUAUUGUAAAAGUAACACUAUCUGAAUUAUCUGCCCUUGCAUU